GACGAACGCUGGCGGCGUGCCUAAUACAUGCAAGUAGAACGCUGAAGGAGGAGCUUGCUUCUCUGGAUGAGUUGCGAACGGGUGAGUAACGCGUAGGUAACCUGCCUGGUAGCGGGGGAUAACUAUUGGAAACGAUAGCUAAUACCGCAUAAUAGUAGAUGUUGCAUGACAUUUACUUAAAAGGUGCAAUUGCAUCACUACCAGAUGGACCUGCGUUGUAUUAGCUAGUUGGUGGGGUAACGGCUCACCAAGGCGACGAUACAUAGCCGACCUGAGAGGGUGAUCGGCCACACUGGGACUGAGACACGGCACAGACUCCUACGGGAGGCAGCAGUAGGGAAUCUUCGGCAAUGGACGAAAGUCUGACCGAGCAACGCCGCGUGAGUGAAGAAGGUUUUCGGAUCGUAAAGCUCUGUUGUAAGAGAAGAACGAGUGUGAGAGUGGAAAGUUCACACUGUGACGGUAUCUGACCAGAAAGGGACGGCUAACUACGUG
Molecule: ribosomal RNA, 495 nt
Filed under: uncultured bacterium
Lineage: Bacteria
Description: partial 16S ribosomal RNA
Rfam family: Bacterial small subunit ribosomal RNA
Source: RNAcentral